CCCUGCCUUUUGUACACACCGCCCGUCGCACCUACCGAUUGGAUGGUCCGGUGAAGCCUCCGGAUCGCGGCCCCGCGCCUCCGGGCCGAGGCCACGAGAAGCUGGCUAAACCUUACCAUCUAGAGGAA
This 128-nucleotide ribosomal RNA is filed under the name uncultured eukaryote. RNAcentral's name for it is "partial small subunit ribosomal RNA". It matches the Rfam family "Eukaryotic small subunit ribosomal RNA", at positions 1651 to 1781 of the family's 1831-position model. The record is from RNAcentral.